This 491-nucleotide ribosomal RNA is filed under the name uncultured bacterium. RNAcentral describes it as "partial 16S ribosomal RNA". It matches the Rfam family "Bacterial small subunit ribosomal RNA", at positions 29 to 507 of the family's 1533-position model. The record is from RNAcentral.
AGUGAACGCUGGCGGUAGGCCUAACACAUGCAAGUCGAACGGCAGCACAGUAAGAGCUUGCUCUUACGGGUGGCGAGUGGCGGACGGGUGAGGAAUACAUCGGAAUCUACUUUUUCGUGGGGGAUAACGUAGGGAAACUUACGCUAAUACCGCAUACGACCUACGGGUGAAAGCAGGGGAUCUUCGGACCUUGCGCGAUUGAAUGAGCCGAUGUCGGAUUAGCUAGUUGGCGGGGUAAGGGCCCACCAAGGCGACGAUCCGUAGCUGGUCUGAGAGAAUGAUCGCCACCAUUGAAACGAGGCAAGGGUCCAAACUCCAACGGAAGCCAGCGGGGGGGAUUAUGGGACAAGGGGCGAAGGCCUAAUCCAGCCAUACGGCGUGGGUGAAAAAGCCCUUGGGGUGGUAAAGCCCUUUUGUGGGGAAGGAAAAGCGGCAGGUUAAUCCCCGGCUGUUCUGACGGUACCAAAAGAAUAAGCACGGCUAACUUCGUG